ACUCUAAUAGUUUAUCUAAAACAUCGGUCUUGUAAACCGAAAACUGAAGACUGCCAUCUUCUUAGAGUU
This 69-nucleotide transfer RNA is filed under the name Alcedo atthis (common kingfisher). Its description in RNAcentral is "tRNA-Thr". It matches the Rfam family "tRNA". Rfam says of the family: Transfer RNA (tRNA) molecules are approximately 80 nucleotides in length. Their secondary structure includes four short double-helical elements and three loops (D, anti-codon, and T loops). Lineage: Eukaryota; Metazoa; Chordata; Aves; Coraciiformes; Alcedinidae. The record is from RNAcentral.